This 423-nucleotide ribosomal RNA is filed under the name uncultured bacterium. RNAcentral describes it as "bacterial SSU rRNA". It matches the Rfam family "Bacterial small subunit ribosomal RNA", at positions 207 to 622 of the family's 1533-position model. The record is from RNAcentral.
AAGACCUUGCACUUUUGGAGCGGCCGAUGUCUGAUUAGCUAGUUGGUGGGGUAAAGGCCUACCAAAGCUUCGAUCAGUAGCUGGUCUGAGAGGACGGCCAGCCACACUGGGACUGAGACACGGCCCAGACUCCUACGGGAGGCAGCAGUGGGGAAUUUUGGACAAUGGGCGCAAGCCUGAUCCAGCCAUGCCGCGUGAGUGAAGAAGGCCUUCGGGUUGUAAAGCUCUUUCAGCCGGGAAGAAAAGGCUGCGACUAAUAAUCGCAGUUCAUGACGGUACCGGAAGAAGAAGCACCGGCUAACUACGUGCCAGCAGCCGCGGUAAUACGUAGGGUGCGAGCGUUAAUCGGAAUUACUGGGCGUAAAGGGUGCGCAGGCGGUUUUGUAAGUCAGAUGUGAAAUCCCCGGGCUUAACCUGGGAACU